GUUGAGCUAACCGGUACUAAUGAACCGUGAGGCUUAACCUUACAACGCCGAAG
RNAcentral lists this ribosomal RNA (53 nucleotides) under Escherichia coli. RNAcentral's name for it is "partial 23S ribosomal RNA". Lineage: Bacteria; Pseudomonadati; Pseudomonadota; Gammaproteobacteria; Enterobacterales; Enterobacteriaceae. The record is from RNAcentral. RNAcentral also lists the same sequence under 12 other names.